Molecule: long non-coding RNA, 801 nt
Organism: Triticum aestivum (bread wheat)
Lineage: Eukaryota; Viridiplantae; Streptophyta; Magnoliopsida; Poales; Poaceae
Exons: 5
Source: RefSeq, a predicted model, not a curated record
GAAAGGUCCAACUUCUUGCUGGCUCUGGCUGCUACCUAUUCAUUUCAUUGGUCACCGCCGGCGACAAAUCCCGCGCGGCGCCGGCGGCCGGCUCGCACGCCCUCCAGCCCAUCGCCGCCCCUUUGCACCAGGUGUCGAUAUAUUUGGAGUGGCUGGAGCUGCACCACCUGGCCUCCUUAGGGCCGUCGGCGAGCGCUUCUACGGCCAGCCUACAAACUCACCGUCCCUUCCUUCACAGGCUUCAUCAGGAACCCCUCCGCAGUCCGCUGAGCUCCAGGCAGUAGUAUGCAUGCAUGGUGGGCUUCACCUUGAACUUUUCUGCCAACUUCACUCAGUUUCCUCUGCUGACGCCUGACGGUGUGAUAUUGUGGCAUAUUUACCCUGGAGCUAGCAUAUAUAUGGAGCUGACUUUGUUCCUGGAGGAGCAGACACAGAGGAGGAAUCUGCUACCUCAAAGCAGUUGAUCGACGCCGGGAGGGUGGGUACGUGAUGUCGGAGGCUGCCGGGAGGGUGGUGACGAGCUACCGAAGAGAUGAGUUCUGGCUCUCCUCGAUGCCAGGACGAGGCGCUGUUGCCGAUCGGACGUGGACUCGAUUGAUUUUGAUUUGAAAUAUGACGGGUUGUAAUGUAAAAUGCACUUCAGUUCAAAAUUUCCUCCCCUUGCGAGAGGUAUUCUUGGACGGAGGGAGUAGAAGAUUAGUUAUAGGAUUUUGUUUUAUUUCUGUGCAAUUUUCUUUUUAUGGGAUACUUAUAAAGACAUGGUAAUAUUCUUGCUAUAAUAAAAAUGAUGGUUCUAUUUCA